ACUCUUUUAGUAUAACUAGUACAAUUGACUUCCAAUCAAUCAGUUUUGAUGUUAUUCAAAAAGGAGUA
RNAcentral lists this transfer RNA (68 nucleotides) under Miopithecus ogouensis (Gabon talapoin). Its description in RNAcentral is "tRNA-Gly". Lineage: Eukaryota; Metazoa; Chordata; Mammalia; Primates; Cercopithecidae. The record is from RNAcentral.